GGACCAUGCUGUACAAAAUGGCAGCUCCUUCUCCUCAAUUCAAGUCAAAGGUUUAGCAGGAAGUUUCUUUUCAGCUUUUCAAAGCUCCGAGACUAUAAAGACCAGGGGAACAGAAACCAUGUCCCCAUCGUUCCCAACCUGUGCACCCAGGCACCCUGUGCUGCGUGAUAUUUUGAAAUUUUGAGAGAAACACAGCAACAUUUCAUCAGAUAUCACAAGAACUUCUAGCUUGAAGUAGCUCUGCUUCAAAUUUAGAUUAUGUUGCAUUUCUGUUCGUAAUAUAUUUUUUGCAAAGCUGAGUUUAGUGAUCAGUGUCAUAAAAUGCAAGUAAGCACAAAGUCAAUAUGGGAUAAAAAAUGAGGAUGGCAGUGUCUGAUUGGAUUCCAAAGAUUGAGAAUCUGCGCAGUGCCCAACAGGCACAUACAUCCCAUGAGCUGAAAAGUUCCACACUGAACACAUUCCUACAAAUGUGGCUAGAGAACAUGGUCUAGCUAAACUUCACCUUUAGGCUACCCGUGGAGGCAAGUGGGAUGUGGCUUGAAUAUCAAUAUUGGCUCGCACACAGAUUGCAUCCUCCGAACAGAGGCUCCGGAUGGCUCACCAGGCUGGCUGUGGGCUCUCCUGGCGAGGCUCGUUCUGUCUUUAAGAGGGCUCAUUCAUUUUGCAUGACAGCUCAACUUUUAAUGUAGAUCUCAUUUCAGUGUUAUCCCUACAUCAUCCUACCAUGUAAAAUAAAGUAUCUGCAUGUGCUUGAACUCGGAAUGUUUUAUAGCGUCAUGUCAGAAGUUUAUUCUUAGUUGAAUGCUUAUUCUCUCGGCAUGUGAGAUGCAUUUAUCCUAAAGCGCCAGUUAUCUUUUUACCAUUUCUUUGAGGUUGUGCUCUACUAUGGUCUUCGGGUGUCCUUCCUGAAGCAAUGGCGUCUAUAUAGUUGGUACCCCUGAGAAAUGCGUGGGAGGCAGCCAAGUUUUAUGGAAUGUCAUUUCACUGGGAAACUUCGGAUCGAAUCCCAGGUCUGCCACACAUUUGCUGUGACUUCGGCUCAGUCGGGUUUCCUCUCUGAACAUCUGCUUCCCCACCCAUCAAAUGACAAGAGGCAGAAUGUCAUUGUGGACAGAGCGUGAGCCAUAGGUUCUCACGAGACUGGGUCUGAAUUCCGGGUCCACCAUUUAUGAGCAUUCUGAACCAAGGAAGUUACACACCCUGAGUUCAAAUUUUAUUGUGUGUAAAAUACGAAUAAUGAUAUCUUCUUCAUGGGGUUGUUGAGAGAAAUAAAGGCAAUUAUGAGUAGAGUUGCCAAACAUUCUGCUUUGAACCUCGUUGUCCAGUAUUUGAACCCUUCACUGAGAGGGAAUUUUUUUAAUGGGGCCUUGAUAGUUAUAUAUACUGUUGGGGUAAGUGUUAGAGUGAUCUUAUCUUGUCAUGAUUUAGGUGCAAAUAUUUCUGCUUACUCUCUCGGCUUGUGCCUUGCUUUGCUGAUUUGCAAAUUAGAUGUUAAGUAUGAGACUUGGUUCCUCGUAAAUUCUGGUGCACAACGUAGAAUGGCGCUAUGCAGCGAAGAGCCGUUCAGACCUGCGAGCAGGCAGGUCCAAUGAAGAAAUAGUGCUGAACACUUUCAUUUUAUAAACAUACAGUGCAAGUCGGUCUUGGGUCUGCUUUCAUCUUUCUCAUUUAUUCAGCA
This is a non-coding RNA of Equus caballus (horse), 1678 nucleotides long. NCBI's taxonomy places the organism in Eukaryota, Metazoa, Chordata, Mammalia, Perissodactyla, Equidae. The record is from RefSeq and is a predicted model, not a curated record.